UCCCAGGUGAAAACAAUGAGUGAAUGUUUAGUUUGGUCGGCCAGGUUCUAUGAAGCCAUUACACAUCAGUCAGAGUUCCAUGGAGACGGUCUCCUUUCCUACAUAACAUAUGCAUAUAUACCUCCAUGGAGAUGGACGAAGACGACACGACCCACAUCACGACAGCGCGGCUCUAGUUUCCUUGGUCCGCUCCUUUGCUUCUCUUCAUGUCUCUACCUUGGUGUUGCCAUGCUACUCCUCCAUUCCAAUAUAACAUCCAACUAAUAAAAACUCACUGCUCUCUGUACAACAGAGCAGUAACAGGGGAAAGAAGAAAAACUGGAACUUCACUUACCCACUGAAGUGUGUAAAGCCUAGCUUUGAAUUUUCAGUUGCACCGCUCAAUCGCUCAUCAUCAUCCAUCUCAGAGAAUA
RNAcentral lists this long non-coding RNA (413 nucleotides) under Triticum aestivum (bread wheat). RNAcentral describes it as "long non-coding RNA (TAES_LNC010764)". The record is from RNAcentral. Lineage: Eukaryota; Viridiplantae; Streptophyta; Magnoliopsida; Poales; Poaceae.